Molecule: ribosomal RNA, 761 nt
Filed under: uncultured Methanothermobacter sp.
Lineage: Archaea; Methanobacteriati; Methanobacteriota; Methanobacteria; Methanobacteriales; Methanobacteriaceae
Description: bacterial SSU rRNA
Rfam family: Archaeal small subunit ribosomal RNA
Source: RNAcentral
GGACAACCUACCCUUAGGACCGGGAUAACCCCGGGAAACUGGGGACAAUCCCGGAUAGGUGAAGUGGCCUGGAAUGGUGCUUCACUGAAAGGCUCUUCGGAGCGCCUAAGGAUGGGUCUGCGGCCGAUUAGGUAGUUGGUAGGGUAACGGCCUACCAAGCCGAUAAUCGGUACGGGUUGUGAGAGCAAGAGCCCGGAGAUGGAACCUGAGACAAGGUUCCAGGCCCUACGGGGCGCAGCAGGCGCGAAACCUCCGCAAUGCACGCAAGUGCGACGGGGGGACCCCAAGUGCCACUCUUAACGGGGUGGCUUUUCAGGAGUGUAAAAAGCUCCUGGAAUAAGGGCUGGGCAAGACCGGUGCCAGCCGCCGCGGUAACACCGGCAGCUCGAGUGGUAGCCGCGUUUAUUGGGCCUAAAGCGUCCGUAGCCGGUCCGAUAAGUCUCUGGUGAAAGCCCACAGCUCAACUGUGGGAAUCGCUGGAGAUACUAUCGGACUUGAGGCCGGGAGAGGCUGGAGGUACUCCCAGGGUAGGGGUGAAAUCCUAUAAUCCUGGGAGGACCACCUGUGGCGAAGGCGUCCAGCUGGAACGGACCUGACGGUGAGGGACGAAAGCCAGGGGCGCGAACCGGAUUAGAUACCCGGGUAGUCCUGGCCAUAAACGAUGCGGACUUGGUGUUGGGACGGCUUUGAGCUGUCCCAGUGCCGAAAGGGAAGCUGUUAAGUCCGCCGCCUGGGAAAGUACGGCCGCAAGGGCUGAAACU